GACGAACCGUGCGAACGUUGUUCGGAAUCACUGGGCUUAAAGGGCGCGUAGGCGGCUUGCCAAGUCAGGGGUGAAAUCUUUCGGCUUAACCGGAAAAGUGCCUUUGAUACUGGCGAGCUCGAGGGAGGUAGGGGCAGAUGGAACUUCCGGUGGAGCGGUGAAAUGUGUUGAUAUCGGAAGGAACGCCGGUGGCGAAAGCGAUCUGCUGGACCUCUACUGACGCUGAGGCGCGAAAGCCAGGGGAGCGAACGGG
RNAcentral lists this ribosomal RNA (253 nucleotides) under uncultured bacterium. Its description in RNAcentral is "partial 16S ribosomal RNA". It matches the Rfam family "Bacterial small subunit ribosomal RNA", at positions 524 to 776 of the family's 1533-position model. The record is from RNAcentral.